RNAcentral lists this ribosomal RNA (465 nucleotides) under Vreelandella stevensii. RNAcentral describes it as "partial 16S ribosomal RNA". It matches the Rfam family "Bacterial small subunit ribosomal RNA", at positions 338 to 795 of the family's 1533-position model. The record is from RNAcentral. Lineage: Bacteria; Pseudomonadati; Pseudomonadota; Gammaproteobacteria; Oceanospirillales; Halomonadaceae.
CCUACGGGUGGCAGCAGUGGGGAAUAUUGGACAAUGGGGGCAACCCUGAUCCAGCCAUGCCGCGUGUGUGAAGAAGGCCCUCGGGUUGUAAAGCACUUUCAGUGAGGAAGAACGCCUGGUGGUUAAUACCCAUCAGGAAAGACAUCACUCACAGAAGAAGCACCGGCUAACUCCGUGCCAGCAGCCGCGGUAAUACGGAGGGUGCGAGCGUUAAUCGGAAUUACUGGGCGUAAAGCGCGCGUAGGUGGCUUGAUAAGCCGGUUGUGAAAGCCCCAGGCUCAACCUGGGAACGGCAUCCGGAACUGUCAAGCUAGAGUGCAGGAGAGGAAGGUAGAAUUCCCGGUGUAGCGGUGAAAUGCGUAGAGAUCGGGAGGAAUACCAGUGGCGAAGGCGGCCUUCUGGACUGACACUGACACUGAGGUGCGAAAGCGUGGGUAGCAAACAGGAUUAGAUACCCUAGUAGUC